This 245-nucleotide ribosomal RNA is filed under the name uncultured Erysipelotrichaceae bacterium. RNAcentral's name for it is "partial 16S ribosomal RNA". It matches the Rfam family "Bacterial small subunit ribosomal RNA", at positions 524 to 769 of the family's 1533-position model. Lineage: Bacteria; Bacillati; Bacillota; Erysipelotrichia; Erysipelotrichales; Erysipelotrichaceae. The record is from RNAcentral.
UACGUAGGUGGCAAGCGUUAUCCGGAUUUAUUGGGCGUAAAGGGUGCGCAGGCGGUCUGUUAAGUUCAGGGUGAAAGCGUGGGGCUCAACCCCAUAAAGCCCUGAAAACUGACAGACUUGAGUGCGGAAGAGGGAAGCGGAAUUCCAUGUGUAGCGGUAAAAUGCGUAGAUAUAUGGAGGAACACCGGUGGCGAAGGCGGCUUCCUGGUCCGUUACUGACGCUCAGGCACGAAAGCGUGGGGAGC